RNAcentral lists this ribosomal RNA (87 nucleotides) under Actinopolyspora mortivallis. RNAcentral's name for it is "partial 16S ribosomal RNA". It matches the Rfam family "Bacterial small subunit ribosomal RNA", at positions 1455 to 1533 of the family's 1533-position model. RNAcentral also lists the same sequence under 2 other names. Lineage: Bacteria; Bacillati; Actinomycetota; Actinomycetes; Actinopolysporales; Actinopolysporaceae. The record is from RNAcentral.
GUCGAAGGUGGGACUGGCGAUUGGGACGAAGUCGUAACAAGGUAGCCGUACCGGAAGGUGCGGCUGGAUCACCUCCUUUCUAAGGAG